This 1170-nucleotide long non-coding RNA is filed under the name Sparus aurata (gilthead seabream). RNAcentral's name for it is "lncRNA (ENSSAUG00010009778.1)". Lineage: Eukaryota; Metazoa; Chordata; Actinopteri; Spariformes; Sparidae. The record is from RNAcentral.
AUGAUCAAUGUUUGUGUCGAAAAAAGUAUGAAAGUUUAAAGUUGGACAAAAUGUUAGACCCAAAUAAAGUUCAAGUACUUCAGUACUUAAGAACAGUGUUUCUCACCUGUGUGUCUCACACAUGGCCUCAGGCCUCCAGAUGAAGCGGCCAUCUUUGUAGGAGCAGACAGAGUUUGGGUCGUCAGUCAGCAGAGGACGAUCUGACAACUGCUCCUGAUUGGCUGGGCUGUGGACCAGUAUAACAUACAUCACUUCCUGUUUGUACUGGACGGUCUCGUACACCCGCAUGAUGGGCUGAGUGCCGGAGCAACACUGUAACAAUAAAAGAAAUGUAUCACAAAUUCAUUCAUCAAGGUUCCUGUUAAUGUCCCGACAACAACGACAGACAACAUCGACUCUCCUUCUUUCUCUUUAAAGAAGCACUACGUAGUUUUAGAAAAGAAACUGAGAGUUCUGAUAUUUACAAUGUGAAUGAGGUAACAAUACAAACUUUUGUCCAUAAGUGAAUCAACAAGCUGUUCUCAUUUCUUCAACUAAACUACGGACUGCUCCUUUCAGUAAUCUGCUACCUGCUGGCUGUAGGCCUCCAGCACCUCCUCCAGGGGGAAGGUGAAGCGGUACGAGCCCAGCCUGGAGAGCUUGGAGAAGGCCGGGGAGGUGGCAAACUUCCCCAGGAAGCUCUGCUGCAUCUGGACCUGCUCCUGCGACCGGUCGGGGUAGGUCGUCUCCAGGAGCCUCGUCUCAGCUGAUGUGAUGUCAUCAGGCGUCACAGCCAGACUCCACCACACCAGAGAGCCUCCACGUGGGUUCUUGAAGCCAUCGUUCCAUCUGAUGCCACGUAAUCCAUAUUGCUUUGUGUCGUGUUUCAGAUGAGUCACAUGAAACUCUGGUCGGGGGUAUAAUGGGAUGUUUUCUUUGAGGAGAUAUUGGUUCCUCAAACCCCUUGCUUCCUCUUUCAAAUCUGUCAGCUUCAAGUGCCGACCUUCCCAGUAACGUUCCUCAUAUCCUCUGCUGUUUGUCCGUGUCUUCAUGGUCCUUUAUGUUAAAAUAAUUCUGCAAUAAUUUAGAACAUGGAGGAAGGAGAUCGGAGUCAGCUCAAGGUUCAAACAAGGUUUAAAUCUUGUACAAGAGGAGCAUUCACAGAGCAACAUGCAGGUCUGUUACAAAGUG